AUGAAGGCCCUCUGGGUUGUUAAACUUCGUUUUAUUAGGGGAAGAAAUCUGUUUUUUCUAAAGCAGUUGACGGUACCCGAUGAAAUAAGCACCGGCUAACUCCGUGC
Molecule: ribosomal RNA, 107 nt
Filed under: uncultured bacterium
Lineage: Bacteria
Description: partial 16S ribosomal RNA
Source: RNAcentral